GAUCCCCGUCUUUGUGCGGCCGACUACCGGCGCCGUGUCACGUCAUUUGUGUGGCUUAUGUUACUGUUGCCUUYAAGUGCUUGCGUGCUGGUACCCGACAUACGGGAAGUGGUGCAUCAUACACGGUUGCCUCGCGGUGGACGCCUUCGGGUGUKCUGCUGCGGCCAAAUGGCGCUUGCGGCGUUGCCUCGUGGUGCUGGCACGUUUUCRUGCCURGUGCUAUCAGGGCAGCCUCGCUCCYGCUGUUGGUUUUGGAUGUCGCUCACGAUAAAAGCUCAUGGCCCUUUUGGUUGCUUUGACCUGACCCUAAAUAUGCCUUCCUCGUUGAGAACAACCGUCAGCUGUUGCCUCAACUCGUAGGUGGAUAUUGGCCCGCUCAAUUGCGACAACCGGCCCAGCGGUUGCCUCUGCCUUUCCACGCAAGUGGACAGGCGAACGACUKCCGGCGCUGGAUGUSAAAGAGGACGUGCUACCUGGUUGAUCCUGCCAGUAGUCAU
RNAcentral lists this unclassified non-coding RNA (497 nucleotides) under Calamagrostis arenaria. RNAcentral describes it as "Ammophila arenaria contains 3' external transcribed spacer, ETS". The record is from RNAcentral. Lineage: Eukaryota; Viridiplantae; Streptophyta; Magnoliopsida; Poales; Poaceae.